GAUGAAGAACGCAGCGAAAUGCGAUAAGUAGUGUGAAUUGCAGAAUUCAGUGAAUCAUCGAAUCUUUGAACGCACAUUGCGCCCCUUGGUAUCCCGAGGGGCAUGCCUGUUCGAGCGUCGUUUCACCACUCAAGCCUGGCUUGGUGUUGGGCGACGUCCUCUUUGGGGACGCGCCUCGAAACGCUCGGCGGCGUGGCACCGGCUUUAAGCGUAGCAGAAUCUUUCGCUUUGGAAGUCGGGGCCCCGUCUGCCGGAAGACCUGCUCGCAAGGUUGACCUCGGAUCAGGCAGGGAUACCCGCUGAACUUAAGCAUAUCAAUAAGCGGAGGA
This 329-nucleotide unclassified non-coding RNA is filed under the name soil metagenome. RNAcentral describes it as "partial contains 5.8S ribosomal RNA, internal transcribed spacer 2, and large subunit ribosomal RNA". The stretch from base 1 to 120 matches the Rfam family "5.8S ribosomal RNA", at positions 35 to 154 of the family's 154-position model. The record is from RNAcentral.